This 1535-nucleotide long non-coding RNA is filed under the name Strigops habroptila (Kakapo). RNAcentral's name for it is "lncRNA (ENSSHBG00005019301.1)". Lineage: Eukaryota; Metazoa; Chordata; Aves; Psittaciformes; Psittacidae. The record is from RNAcentral.
GCUGACUUAUCCCAGGCUUCCUCAGCGUGCAUCCCAGAGGGACGAGCUGCCUUCCCUGCGACUUGGAGACACCCCAUCCCUCAGGACCAGCCAGCCGCAUGCCCAGGAGACCUUGGGCCAAGGCUGUUGGUGAACAGGUCAAUGUGAGAUUUGGGGAACCAGCUAUAAAGGGUGGUAAUGAGCCACAGAACUGGGUGGCUGGUUUUGUGCAAUAGAGGGAAAUCUCACAAGGAAGUGAGAGUGCUUCAGACUUCCCUCCUUGGUGAAAUAUUGGGACCAAUGUGGAAAUUUGUCUUCUGCACUGAUAGUGCAAGCAAACACCUCAGAAAGCCCCUGCAGGCCCACAAGUGCUGGCAAGGAAUAGGGGCUUUAGGACUGUUUCUUUAUAAACUGCUUUCCCAGAAGGAAAAUGAAGAGAAACCUGGGAGACUGCACGGCUGUGUGUAGGGAAAUGGGUGAGGAUGGAGCAGAGAGCCCCAGCCUGCACUCUGGCUGGCAAAGGAGCACAAGCUCCCUCCCUUCUCCCUCCCCAUGCCCACCGUGCUGCUCCCUGCAGGGUCUGUGCGGUGCUGGGGGAGGAAAGGUGCUAGCACAGUGCGGCCCCUCACUGUGACAGCCGUGGUGUCGCUGCACAGAGGAGAGCUUUGCAAGAGCACAGCAUAGGAGUCAGAGCUGAGCAUCCUGCUGCGUCAGACUGGAAAAUGUGAGCCUAUGGGACUUCCAGAGAACUGGAGGGACUGUCUGUGCUCUUGACUAUUGGAGCCAAAGUGCUGCCCUGUGGCUUUCUGGCAAACUCAUCUGGGUUCCGUGGAAACAUCACCUCUUACUGCCGCUGGAUGCUGCCAGUCGAGCCUUUCAUGGUGAGCAGGAACCGGCAGCACCCGGUGCUGUGCAGGAUGUGGCUGCAGCCUGACAUCAGGAGCAUUUGAAAUGAAAACAAAAGCUGAGCUGCCUCUUGGUGCCUCCGAUUUCGAGAGGAAGUCGAAAAGAAAGUGAAAAGGAAAUAUCCAGAGGCAGGAGAGAUGGUGGCAAUGGAAGGGCAGGGGAUGCCCAUGGCUGGCACUGGUGGUGCUGCUGCUGUGGGCACCCACCACCUUCUGCGUGAUGCAGGCAGCGUGUCUUAACUGUGAGCAAAGCAACGUCAGACGUAACAGCCGGAAACAGCAAUACGUCAACCGCCCUUCUGACGGCAGUGAUUCAUGUUUUAACCUGACAAAAUGCACUCCCCGAGCUGGGUUUCCACCAGCAGUUUAAUGGGACUAUCCCACCGUGAAGGUUCUUGGAAGCCAAGUGACUUUAGGAAAAACUCUCCAAUGACCUGGCAGUAGUCAAAUGUAGCCCAUGUUGUGAUGUGGAAAUGCUCUUUCCCAUGUGAGACAUUGCCCUUUGCUGUGGGGGAAAGUCCAUAUCUGGAAACAGAAAAUGCAGCUUGACCUUAGGAAAGGAUGUACAGAUGAAUAGACAGAAUACCUUUGGAUGGACCACAUCCUUUCUGUAUUUACAAAUUAAAUAGAAUAAAUAAUGUCUGUACGCAA